ACGGAGGGGGUUAGCGUUGUUCGGAAUUACUGGGCGUAAAGCGCACGUAGGCGGAUCAGAAAGUUGGGGGUGAAAUCCCGGGGCUCAACCCCGGAACUGCCUCCAAAACUCCUGGUCUUGAGUUCGAGAGAAGAGUGAGUACUCGAGUGUAGAGGUGAAAUUCGUAGAUAUUCGGAGGAACACCAGUGGCGAAGGCGGCUCACUGGCUCGAUACUGACGCUGAGGUGCGAAAGUGUGGGGAGCAAACAGGAUUAGAUACCCGGAAGUC
Molecule: ribosomal RNA, 268 nt
Filed under: uncultured bacterium
Lineage: Bacteria
Description: partial 16S ribosomal RNA
Rfam family: Bacterial small subunit ribosomal RNA
Source: RNAcentral